RNAcentral lists this ribosomal RNA (627 nucleotides) under uncultured fungus. Its description in RNAcentral is "LSU rRNA". It matches the Rfam family "Eukaryotic large subunit ribosomal RNA", at positions 23 to 664 of the family's 3401-position model. Lineage: Eukaryota; Fungi. The record is from RNAcentral.
ACCCGCUGAACUUAAGCAUAUCAAUAAGCGGAGGAAAAGAAACCAACAGGGAUUGCCUUAGUAACUGCGAGUGAAGCGGCAAAAGCUCAAAUUUGAAAUCUGGCGUCUUCGGCGUCCGAGUUGUAAUUUGGAGGGAUAUCUUCGGGGUUGGCGCCGUCCUAAGUUCCUUGGAACAGGACGUCAUAGAGGGUGAGAAUCCCGUGCCUGGAUGGCUGCCCAACUCCAUGUGAAGUGUCUCCGACGAGUCGAGUUGUUUGGGAAUGCAGCUCAAAAUGGGUGGUAAAUUUCAUCUAAAGCUAAAUAUUGGCGAGAGACCGAUAGCGCACAAGUAGAGUGAUCGAAAGAUGAAAAGCACUUUGAAAAGAGAGUUAAAAAGUACGUGAAAUUGUUGAAAGGGAAGCGCUUGCGACCAGACUCGAUCUUUGGUGAUCAGCCGGGCUUCUGUCCGGUGCCCUUGCCAUUGAUUGGGCCAGCAUCGGUUCCGACGGCGGGAUAAAAGGAGGAGGAAUGUGGCUCCCUUCGGUGAGUGUUAUAGCCUCCUUCACAAUGCCGCCAGUUGGGACCGAGGACCGCGCUUCGGCUAGGAUGCUGGCAUAAUGGUCUUAAGCGACCCGUCUUGAAACACGG